RNAcentral lists this long non-coding RNA (616 nucleotides) under Ananas comosus (pineapple). Its description in RNAcentral is "long non-coding RNA (ACOM_LNC037014)". The record is from RNAcentral. Lineage: Eukaryota; Viridiplantae; Streptophyta; Magnoliopsida; Poales; Bromeliaceae.
AAACGUACAACAUGCUACUAUACCUCAAUAAUUAGAAUAAAUGCAUGAAUAUAAUAAUGUACUCUACUAACAUGAUAUUAUCACUACAACAAAAGCGGUCUAUAGCGACACUUUUAAAUGUCGGUACAGGUCAAAGAAAGUGCUGCUGGCUAAAUUACCGACACUUUUAAAAAGUGUUGCUAUAUGUGGGGUCGCUAGGUAUAUAGUGACAGUUAAAGAGUGUCGCUAUAAGCUAAAAAGAGUGCUGUUAAUUUACCAACACUUAUUUAAGCAUUUAGCAACUGCCGAAACUCUACCUCGUUACUGCGGUGGCUGAGGAGGAGGAGAGGGAAGGGCUUUUGGUCUAGAAUUUCAGUGGAUUGAGUGAGGGGAGAAGGAAAGAUGGUAAUCGAUUUUUCUUUUUUUUUUUAUUUUCUGUUUGUAAUCGGGCCAAACGGGUUGGGUGGGGUGGGUUGAGUAGAGUAACCUUUUAUUUUUGGUUGGAUUGGGCUUUAUAUUUAGGCAUUAGUAUAUUUUUAAAAAAAAUUUGGCAUAAAUGGGACNGGGUUGAGUAGAGUAACCUUUUAUUUUUGGUUGGAUUGGGCUUUAUAUUUAGGCAUUAGUAUAUUUUUAAAAA